RNAcentral lists this ribosomal RNA (396 nucleotides) under uncultured bacterium. Its description in RNAcentral is "bacterial SSU rRNA". It matches the Rfam family "Bacterial small subunit ribosomal RNA", at positions 362 to 775 of the family's 1533-position model. The record is from RNAcentral.
UAUNGCACAAUGGGGGCAACCCUGAUGCAGCNACGCCGCGUGAGUGAUGAAGUAUUUCGGUAUGUAAAGCUCUAUCAGCAGGGAAGAAAAUGACGGUACCUGACUAAGAAGCACCGGCUAAAUACGUGCCAGCAGCAGCGGUACUACGUAUGGUGCAAGCGUUAUCCGGAUUUACUGGGUGUAAAGGGAGAGUAGAAGGAGAGGCAAGUCUGAUGGGAAAACCCGGGGCUCAACCCCGGGACUGCAUUGGAAACUGUUUUUCUAGAGUGUCGGAGAGGCAAGUGGAAUUCCUAGUGUAGCGGUGAAAUGCGUAGAUAUUAGGAGGAACACCAGUGGCGAAGGCGGCUUGCUGGACGAUGACUGACGUUGAGGCUCGAAAGCGUGGGGAGCAAACAG